AGAAAAAUCCAAGAAAAUCAUUAGUUAGUUUUAGGUUUGACUUUGAGUUUUGAGUCAAUCUUGCAAAAAACCCUAAAACUAUACCAAUUUCUAUUUUUUGUCGACCUAUUUCAGAUUUUUUUGGUCUACCACAAAUUAUUUUUAACAAAUUCCAUUAAAAACUAAAAAAAAAUAAUUUUGAAGCUAUAUAAUUUUAUAAAUUUUUAGUUAUUAAUUAU
Molecule: long non-coding RNA, 218 nt
Filed under: Brassica napus (rape)
Lineage: Eukaryota; Viridiplantae; Streptophyta; Magnoliopsida; Brassicales; Brassicaceae
Description: long non-coding RNA (BNAP_LNC022942)
Source: RNAcentral